AUUUUCUACAUACACUUUUGGCAUUUUCUACAAAAAAGAGCUCUUUAAGCAAUAUCAAUUUCUGUGACUAUUUUUAGGCAUUUUCCAGUAUUUACUGUGAGAGGCCUGUUUGAAGUAACUGAAAAUAUUCACAGCAUUUUUAAAAUCAAUAGUUGUUUCCAUACCCAAAAGCACAUUUUUGCGAAUCGAUUUGAACUAAUAUAGCUAUAUCGUAUAGCAAUUGAAACUAAUACCAAAUCAAGAUGUGCAAUCCAUGCUAUUCAUGUUGCGGCUCACCCUGCACUCCGCGCUGUGGCUCCUGUUGCGGAGCACCCUGCGGACCCUGUGGACCAUGUGGCCCUUGUGGAGGACCCUGCGGACCGUGUGGUCCCUGCGGCCCCUGCUGUCCACCCAAAGCACCUGGUCCUAUGGCGAAACGUCAUGGCCUGGAAGCUAAUUGUAGUCGUGCCUUCUGUAGAUCAUGCUAUUAACACUCUUUGGGUAUUUUGUACACUUUAAAUAGUAAAUGCAUUAGAUAUGAGCUACAAA
This 528-nucleotide small RNA is filed under the name Drosophila mojavensis. RNAcentral describes it as "GI26196". The record is from RNAcentral. Lineage: Eukaryota; Metazoa; Arthropoda; Insecta; Diptera; Drosophilidae.